This 495-nucleotide ribosomal RNA is filed under the name uncultured bacterium. RNAcentral's name for it is "partial 16S ribosomal RNA". It matches the Rfam family "Bacterial small subunit ribosomal RNA", at positions 28 to 507 of the family's 1533-position model. The record is from RNAcentral.
GACGAACGCUGGCGGCGUGCCUAAUACAUGCAAGUAGAACGCUGAAGGAGGAGCUUGCUUCUCCGGAUGAGUUGCGAACGGGUGAGUAACGCGUAGGUAACCUGCCUGGUAGCGGGGGAUAACUAUUGGAAACGAUAGCUAAUACCGCAUAACAGUAGAUAUUGCAUGAUAUCUGCUUGAAAGGUGCAAUUGCAUCACUACCAGAUGGACCUGCGUUGUAUUAGCUAGUUGGUGAGGUAACGGCUCACCAAGGCGACGAUACAUAGCCGACCUGAGAGGGUGAUCGGCCACACUGGGACUGAGACACGGCCCAGACUCCUACGGGAGGCAGCAGUAGGGAAUCGUCGGCAAUGGACGGAAGUCUGACCGAGCAACGCCGCGUGAGUGAAGAAGGUUUUCGGAUCGUAAAGCUCGGUUGUAAGAGAAGAACGAGUGUGAGAGUGGAAAGUUCACACUGUGACGGUAUCUUACCAGAAAGGGACGGCUAACUACGUG